This 497-nucleotide ribosomal RNA is filed under the name uncultured bacterium. RNAcentral's name for it is "partial 16S ribosomal RNA". It matches the Rfam family "Bacterial small subunit ribosomal RNA", at positions 28 to 507 of the family's 1533-position model. The record is from RNAcentral.
GAUGAACGCUGGCGGCGUGCCUAAUACAUGCAAGUCGAGCGAACGGACGAGAAUCUUGCUUUUCUGAUGUUAGCGGCGGACGGGUGAGUAACACGUGGAUAACCUACCUAUAAGACUGGGAUAACUUCGGGAAACCGGAGCUAAUACCGGAUAAUAUUUUGAACCGCAUGGUUCAAAAGUGAAAGACGGUCUUGCUGUCACUUAUAGAUGGAUCCGCGCUGCAUUAGCUAGUUGGUAAGGUAACGGCUUACCAAGGCAACGAUGCGUAGCCGACCUGAGAGGGUGAUCGGCCACACUGGAACUGAGACACGGUCCAGACUCCUACGGGAGGCAGCAGUAGGGAAUCUUCCGCAAAGGGCGAAAGCCUGACGGAGCAACGCCGCGUGAGUGAUGAAGGUCUUCGGAUCGUAAAACUCUGUUAUUAGGGAAGAACAUAUGUGUAAGUAACUGUGCACAUCUUGACGGUACCUAAUCAGAAAGCCACGGCUAACUACGUG